This 399-nucleotide RNase P RNA is filed under the name Arthrobacter crusticola. RNAcentral's name for it is "Bacterial RNase P class A". It matches the Rfam family "Bacterial RNase P class A". From Rfam's summary of the family: Ribonuclease P (RNase P) is a ubiquitous endoribonuclease, found in archaea, bacteria and eukarya as well as chloroplasts and mitochondria. Its best characterised activity is the generation of mature 5'-ends of tRNAs by cleaving the 5'-leader elements of precursor-tRNAs. The record is from Rfam by way of RNAcentral. Lineage: Bacteria; Bacillati; Actinomycetota; Actinomycetes; Micrococcales; Micrococcaceae.
UGGGUCGACCAGGCGGUCGCGUUGGCUGCGGGUCGGAAGAUGCCGCAGGCACCGAGGAACGUCCGGGCUCCGCAGAGCAGGGUGGUGGGUAACGCCCACUCGGGGUAACCCGCAGGCCAGUGCCACAGAAAACAGACCGCUUCCCGGGGCCCUCGCGGUCGGAGGAAGUAAGGGUGAAAAGGUGGUGUAAGAGACCACCAGCGUGCCGGGUGACCGGCACGGCUCGGUAAACCCCACCCGGAGCAAGGCCAGACAGGGCGCAUUUGAGGGCUGCUCGCCCGAGUGUCCGGGUAGGCCGCUGGAGGGCGUCGGCAACGGCGUUCGUAGAUGGAUGGCCGCCGCUCCCGCACCGGCAACGGAGCGGGAGAACAGAACCCGGCGUACCGGUCGGCCCAUCCC